UAAUAAGUGUUUUAUGGCACUUUUUAAAUCCAUAUCCACCUUGUGUGCAAUGUCAGUCGAUCUUCUUCAUGGAGAUCGACCAAACAUCAACCUUUAUCUUCUAACUCUUUGUCUGAAGAAUAUUAUGAAUAAACAAUUCAAAAUA
Molecule: unclassified non-coding RNA, 145 nt
Filed under: soil metagenome
Description: partial internal transcribed spacer 1
Source: RNAcentral